This 253-nucleotide ribosomal RNA is filed under the name uncultured bacterium. Its description in RNAcentral is "partial 16S ribosomal RNA". It matches the Rfam family "Bacterial small subunit ribosomal RNA", at positions 524 to 776 of the family's 1533-position model. The record is from RNAcentral.
GACGGAGGAGGCAAGCGUUGUUCGGAAUUAUUGGGCUUAAAGCGCGUGUAGGCGGCUCGGUAAGUGCUUUGUGAAAUCCCCCGGCUCAACCGGGGAACUGCUGGGCAUACUGCCGGGCUUGAGGCUGGUAGAGGUGACUGGAACUCUAGGUGGAGCGGUGAAAUGCGUAGAUAUCUAGAGGAACGCCUGAGGCGAAAGCGGGUCACUGGGCCGGUUCUGACGCUGAGACGCGAAAGCGUAGGGAGCAAACAGG